Molecule: ribosomal RNA, 399 nt
Filed under: uncultured Isochrysis
Lineage: Eukaryota; Haptophyta; Isochrysidales
Description: partial Bacterial large subunit ribosomal RNA
Rfam family: Bacterial large subunit ribosomal RNA
Source: RNAcentral
AUACUUCCAGGAAAAGUCUCUAAGCUUCAGUUACACAGGAAUCGUACCCGAAACCGACACAGGUGGUCAGGUCGAGUAGACCAAAGCGCUUGAGAGAACUCUGCUGAAGGAACUAGGCAAAAUGGUACCGUAACUUCGGGAGAAGGUACGCUGUUGUCUGUGAUAGGACUUGCUCCUUGAGCGGCCGACAGCCUCAGAAACCAGGCCCCUGCAACUGUUUAUUAAAAACAUAGCACUCUGCAAACACGAAAGUGGACGUAUAGGGUGUGAUGCCUGCCCGGUGCCGGAAGGUUAAUUGAUGGGGUUAGCGUAAGCGAAGCUCUUGAUCGAAGCCCCAGUAAACGGCGGCCGUAACUAUAACGGUCCUAAGGUAGCGAAAUUCCUUGUCGGGUAAGUUCC